RNAcentral lists this ribosomal RNA (158 nucleotides) under Helotiales sp. RNAcentral's name for it is "5.8S ribosomal RNA". It matches the Rfam family "5.8S ribosomal RNA". Rfam says of the family: 5.8S ribosomal RNA (5.8S rRNA) is a component of the large subunit of the eukaryotic ribosome. Lineage: Eukaryota; Fungi; Ascomycota; Leotiomycetes; Helotiales. The record is from RNAcentral.
AAACUUUCAACAACGGAUCUCUUGGUUCUGGCAUCGAUGAAGAACGCAGCGAAAUGCGAUAAGUAAUGUGAAUUGCAGAAUUCAGUGAAUCAUCGAAUCUUUGAACGCACAUUGCGCCCUCUGGUAUUCCGGGNGGCAUGCCUGUUCGAGCGUCAUUA